GGAUGGUGAAGGAGGCGGAUGCCGGACCAGGCCCAGCAUCCCGAAAAACUUUUCAGGAUGCCGGACCCGGGACCCGCUGCCUGGCAGGGCGAGGCCUUACCGCUGGCCCAUCCGGCCGCAAUUAAUAUUCCGGGUCAAAUCGGCUGGUGUCAAAAACACGACGAUAAAAGACCGGUUUUAUCGGUCGAUAGCACGAAUAGCCAUGGUGCUGGCCACGGCGCCAGCGCGGACUGUGGACUUUAUGGGUAGUAACUGUGCGGAAACUCUAACGGCGUUGUAUCCGUAACCGAAGGAAAAUGUGGCUGGGCCGACCACCGACAAAUUGGCUCUGUGUCUGAUAUAUAAAAAAAAAGCGUGGCGAUUUUUUAAAGGACGGAAAGUGUUUGGUGGCGAAGAGAAACUAACGGGCGCCAUUUUAAGGCCGGAUUUAUGGGGAGCCCGCCUCCGUUAAUCCCGAGGCCGGAAUAGGGGUCCAUUUCGGAAACAAACAAAUAGUGGAAAGAGGUAAUUAUUGAAUAAGGAAUUUAAAAGUGGAGAGGGUGGAAGGGAGUUUUGGAAUUGCUCUUCCGCCGCGAGGCGCGCGUUCUUCCGCCUUAACGGUAGAAGAAAACAUUUUCGGAAUAAAUAAUGGUCGGCCUUUAUUCGAUUUUUUUUCUAUAUACAGUCUUCGUAAUUGAAAGAUAGGAAACGUAACUUGCGGGUGGAGCGUUUCACUUAAACUAAUAAAAUAGGCGUCGAGUAGAUUUUUUUCCUCUUCCGACAGAGGCGGGCGUUAACUGCGUUUAGUAUAAAAACCGUUUUAAAAAACGACACUUAAAAAAAAGACCAGCGUAAAAAUUUGUUUCGGCAGUUAUAAAUCUAGAGAAUGUUUAGAACCAGUGACGCUUUUUCCCACCGCCACCCGGGGCAGAAUGGAGUAGAGACUUUACGGGGCACACCCGGUCGACCGUCCAGGCUGGAAUACCGGGCGUCAGAAAAUCUGGAAUUACGGUCGGGAAUAUUUUCCUCCAGCGGAAAGUCGGAAGAGAGAUUUUUAAAUAGUCGACUACCGUGGAUGAGUCGACUAAGGCCGUUAUAUUUUGGGAAAAGAUUUUAGACGGAAAACUGGCAUUUUGAUCACUGGCGGAGAUUAAAUAGGCCACCACUACCCCCGUUAUAAUUUGAUGGAAGGCGGACUAAAGAACCGGUACCUGGGCUGGCCGGAGGCCGAGGGUGAGAAUCGAAAGGUUAUUAAAUCCACCGGUGGCGUUUGCGAUAAAAGCGCGACCAUUCCCAGUCCCACCUAACUCCAUUAAAAAUGUAAAGUAGGCGCCGAAAUAUUCGAAUAGUUGGAUUGACGGUCGACAGAUGGCCGCCUAUCGGCUACCGUUCCGGCUCUUCGAGCUAUCUUCUAGAUGUAUCUGGCUACGUAGAUUAGUGGGGAUUUUUUACCUCCAUCUAAUAUCCCGCUAGUUGGGAAUUAAACGCCCUCCAUUUUCUCCUUUCUUAAUAGUGGGAUUUGGUGGAAGAACGUGGAUGGAAAAUCUUUAAAUCUAUCGGAGUGGGGCUUAGACCGAAAUUAAAAUUUUCAUUAAUGGCUUAUCCCGUAUGGCUAUUAAUAAUAGGAGGCGCGCCUAAUCUUUCUGCCCCGAAAAAUUAUAUAGACUAGAGAUUUCGGGUGGGAUAGAUGACUGGCGGUUUAUUCCGGCGCUACCCAUCCAUUCUUUCCACUGUUUUUGUAAAAUGAGGCCGUUUUUUGUCAACAGAUGACACCACUUUCCACUCAGUAAGGGUACUAAGUGCCGG
This 1785-nucleotide long non-coding RNA is filed under the name Androctonus crassicauda. Lineage: Eukaryota; Metazoa; Arthropoda; Arachnida; Scorpiones; Buthidae. The record is from RNAcentral.